UGAGGAAUAUUGGACAAUGGGGGCAACCCUGAUCCAGCCAUGCCGCGUGAGUGAAGAAGGCCUUAGGGUUGUAAAGCUCUUUCAACGGUGAAGAUGAUGACGGUAUCCGUAGAAGAAGCACCGGCUAACUUCGUGCCAGCAGCCGCGGUAAUACGAAGGGUGCAAGCGUUGUUCGGAAUUACUGGGCGUAAAGGGCGUGUAGGCUGACUGGAAAGAUAGGGGUGAAAGCCAUGGGCUCAACCUGUGAACUGCCUUUAUAACUUCCAGUCUAGAAUUCGAGAGAGGGUGGCGGAAUUCCUAGUGUAGAGGUGAAAUUCGUAGAUAUUAGGAAGAACACCAGUGGCGAAGGCGGCCACCUGGCUCGAUAUUGACGCUGAGGCGCGAAAGCGUGGGGAGCAAACAGG
This 404-nucleotide ribosomal RNA is filed under the name uncultured Acidimicrobiales bacterium. Its description in RNAcentral is "bacterial SSU rRNA". It matches the Rfam family "Bacterial small subunit ribosomal RNA", at positions 355 to 776 of the family's 1533-position model. Lineage: Bacteria; Bacillati; Actinomycetota; Acidimicrobiia; Acidimicrobiales. The record is from RNAcentral.